GAUGAACGCUAGCUACAGGCUUAACACAUGCAAGUCGAGGGGAAACGACAUCGAAAGCUUGCUUUUGAUGGGCGUCGACCGGCGCACGGGUGAGUAACGCGUGUCCAACCUGCCCAUCACUUGGGAAUAACCUUGCGAAAGUAAGACUAAUACCCAAUGAUAUCCCACGAAGGCAUCGGAAUGGGAUUAAAGAUUUAUCGGUGAUGGAUGGGGAUGCGUCUGAUUAGCUUGUUGGCGGGGUAACGGCCCACCAAGGCAACGAUCAGUAGGGGUUCUGAGAGGAAGGUCCCCCACAUUGGAACUGAGACACGGUCCAAACUCCUACGGGAGGCAGCAGUGAGGAAUAUUGGUCAAUGGGCGAGAGCCUGAACCAGCCAAGUAGCGUGCAGGAAGACGGCCCUAUGGGUGGUAAACUGCUUUUAUAAGGGAAUAAAGUGGGUCACGUGUGACUUUUUGCAUGUACCUUAUGAAUAAGGACCGGCUAAUUCCGUG
RNAcentral lists this ribosomal RNA (492 nucleotides) under uncultured bacterium. RNAcentral describes it as "partial 16S ribosomal RNA". It matches the Rfam family "Bacterial small subunit ribosomal RNA", at positions 28 to 507 of the family's 1533-position model. The record is from RNAcentral.